ACUGAAUAGAUACCCUGGUAGUCCACGCCCUAAACGAUGUCUACUAGUUGUCGGGUUUUAAUUAACUUGGUAAACGCAGCUAAACGCGUGAAAGUAGACCGCCUGGGGAGUACGGUCGCAAGAUUAAAACUCAAAGGAAUUGACGGGGACCCGCACAAGCGGUGGAUGAUGUGGAUUAAUUCGAUGCAACGCGAAAAACCUUACCUACCCUUGACAUGUACGGAAGCCACGAGAGAUCGAGGUGUGCUCGAAAGAGAGCCGUAACACAGGUGCUGCAUGGCUGUCGUCAGCUCGUGUCGUGAGAUGUUGGGUUAAGUCCCGCAACGAGCGCAACCCUUGUCAUUAGUUGCUACGAAAGGGCACUCUAAUGAGACUGCCGGUGACAAACCGGAGGAAGGUGGGGAUGACGUCAAGUCCUCAUGGCCCUUAUGGGUAGGGCUUCACACGUCAUACAAUGGUACAUACAGAGGGCCGCCAACCCGCGAGGGGUAGCUAAUCCCAGAAAGUGUAUCGUAGUCCGGAUUGUAGUCUGCAACUCG
This 539-nucleotide ribosomal RNA is filed under the name uncultured bacterium. Its description in RNAcentral is "bacterial SSU rRNA". It matches the Rfam family "Bacterial small subunit ribosomal RNA", at positions 772 to 1314 of the family's 1533-position model. The record is from RNAcentral.